UGGGGAAUAUUGGGCAAUGGGGGAAACCCUGACCCAGCAACGCCGCGUGAGUGAAGAAGGUCUUCGGAUCGUAAAACUCUGUCUUAGGGGACGAAAGAGAUGACGGUACCCUGAGAGGAAGCCCCGGCUAACUACGUGCCAGCAGCCGCGGUAAUACGUAGGGGGCGAGCGUUGUCCGGAAUUACUGGGCGUAAAGGGCGCGUAGGCGGUCUGUUAAGUUAGAUGUGAAACCCCCGGGCUUAACCCGGGGCAUGCAUCUAAAACUGGGAGACUUGAGUGCAGGAGAGGAAAGCGGAAUUCCUAGUGUAGCGGUGAAAUGCGUAGAUAUUAGGAGGAACACCAGUGGCGAAGGCGGCUUUCUGGACUGUAACUGACGCUGAGGCGCGAAAGCGUGGGGAGCAAACAGG
RNAcentral lists this ribosomal RNA (407 nucleotides) under uncultured bacterium. Its description in RNAcentral is "bacterial SSU rRNA". It matches the Rfam family "Bacterial small subunit ribosomal RNA", at positions 355 to 776 of the family's 1533-position model. The record is from RNAcentral.